Long non-coding RNA from Alosa sapidissima (American shad), 2342 nucleotides. RefSeq lists it as uncharacterized. Lineage: Eukaryota; Metazoa; Chordata; Actinopteri; Clupeiformes; Clupeidae. The transcript is spliced from 4 exons. The record is from RefSeq and is a predicted model, not a curated record.
GGGCCAACUAUGAUGCUGAUAAUGGAACUCUCUUGAAAGGGUCCAUAGAUGUAUGACAUUUCUUAUGUAUACCUCACACCAAGGUGACUGUUGGAGAAAGUUAAAGAAUGUAAGUGGUUAGUUUGUACUUACAUAUCUGUGUCAUGAGAACAAUGGAGAGCAGGAAAGAAAGAGACCUUUUGCUGCCCCUGUCCCGGCUUUUCUUUCACUCAGUGAAACACCUGCUUACCUGCUGGCUUUGGGGACAUCAGGACCAAAGGAAUCUCCACAGUCACAUCACUAUCAGAAGAAGGAAGAAACGGUUUACCUUUUACUUGUGUAAAGUGUUAACGGCAAUAUCAAGAUGUUAUUUACCCUGAAUAUUUCUAUUAACCUGCAUGUAAGGCUUCCAAGUAUUCCACCACCGGACACCACAGCAGUUGCUUUGAUUGUGUAGGACACCAGAAUUCCCAAGAUGUCCUUAUCCAUGUCAGGUCGGAUGCUGCAUUGUGCAUGAGGAGAUCAAAUUAGUGUAUGAUGCCCAGAUAGGGAUCAACCCCUUUUGUUGUCCUUUUUAACAUUCUAGGAAUCACUCAGAGUUUGGCUGUCAGUAUGACUAAUGGACAGUUUGAAUCUCCACUUACAUGGUCGAUGAUGCCAGGUUUGUGUCCUCAUCCUUCAGUUUGCCAUCUAGUGCCAAACCGCGCUUCUCUGUGUUGUUGGCCAGCAGAGGGGUAACUCUGUAUUCCUUUUCAAGGGUGCACGAGGGAUCAACUUGGUCUCUGUUAGGAAAAUGUAUACUUGUACAUAAGUAAAAGUUUUAGCGCAAAAAAGAGGCCUAAUAUUAACUGCCUUGGACAUAAGAAAAGUGCAAGGGUUUCAUUUCGUGCUUAUCUUUGCAAAAGUAUGAACUUACCCGAAUUCCUCGCAUAGUACAACUUUAGUGUAUUUGUCAGCAGAAUACAGGACCACAUCUGUCGUUUGGUCAACUAGAUAUAAGAAAAUGCUGUGGAGUAAGUAUAUUGAUCUAAGAUUUUAAGAUUCUGUAAUUAAUUUAGGAUAGGUUCAUGUGUCAUUCAUGAUUCCAUAAUCAUUAUUAGUAUUAUAUAAUAAUCAUAUAUUUCUAAACUUACUUGAGAUUUUCACUUUCUUCACCACUUUAUUGCUAUCAUUGUUGAUUUUUACAGUAACUGGAAUGGGAUCUCCAUGGUAGUAAAGCUGAUUGAUGAACAGAAAAGAUCUUUAGUCAUAAGGAAAUCACUCGAGCUGUUUAUUUAAAAGAAUCUUUACUUUGGUAUAUACUGGCAUAUGUUUAAGGUGUUUCAAGGGAUGCUACGGUGUGAUUGUUUUUAAUCACUAACUAACUUUAUACCUCUUUCUCAGUUGAAGCCUCGAUCUGAAUUGGUUUCUCAGACAUUAUGAACUGUUUACUGAUGCUAGCUUUUGGACCAGCACCUAGUUUGUCUGGAGCAAACUGUAUCUUUCGGAUGAUCAAGCGGGUUGUAUCCCUAUAAACCAAUAAGCCCUUAACUUCAAAAUCAACACCACACGCCUGCAGAGACAGGUGAAGAGAUUAGAUUUGGGAUAUCAUAGAUGGAGUAUGACACAUAAGGAGGGAAAGAAUGCCUACCUUGCCAGCAUCGCCUGGUCCAGGUUGAAGGGUGACAGAGCAAGGUAGAUUUGUGGGAAGCUAGACAAAACGCACAGCUUUUAAUGGCGAUGUUUGUAAACCUGUGUGAGCUAUACUGUUCCUGUCAGCUAUAUCUUAAGUUUGUGCAAUGGUGACUCACAGCGAAAGUGAAUGGGUGUCCAUCUUCUCCAGACUUCCUCAGAAGUGCAUCUUGCACGUGUGUGUUAGCUGGCUUGGGUUCACUGGUCGGAGGGUACACCUGAAGGUGCUCAAUCCAGAUGUCUUUUCGGAAUGAUAAACCAAUCACAUCCAAAUCCUCGCGGCCAUAGCGAAAAGCACAGUUCUUGUUAAAGGAUGAGGCUUCUGGAUUGCCCGGACCGCUUGUGUUUCACUAAGCAGUGACGUGUAUUGAGGAAGGUUUAAAACAUUCAUUCAACCUUCAUUUAUUUUCGGAAGAGAAUACACUGCUGUGAAUGAACGAAGUGACUUUAGCCCUUCGAGUAUUCAUACUUGGAUAAACAUCAACUGCAUUGUUGGAAAAAGCCAUCUAAACCUACAUUUUAGUAUCUGGAGGAACUGAAUGAAGUUAUGCAGAGAAUCCAGACAAAAAUAAAUGACUGAUUGACUGAUUGAUUGAUUGAUUGAUUGAUUGAUUGAUUGAUUGAUUGAUUUAAUUACUUGCCUGCCAUACUGACCUAUGCGUAAAAGAAGUCCUAUUCUCCCAUUCCCCAAA